Molecule: long non-coding RNA, 989 nt
Organism: Dromaius novaehollandiae (emu)
Lineage: Eukaryota; Metazoa; Chordata; Aves; Casuariiformes; Dromaiidae
Exons: 2
Source: RefSeq, a predicted model, not a curated record
CGAUGGUGUCCUGCAGGGAGGCGAAGGCAGCGGUGGUCACGGCCGUGGGCCGGGGCAGGGGUCUCUCCCGUGGGUCUUCUGCUCCGGCCGCCACGAAGAAGGGGAGGGCGCGAGGGGCAGUUUGCACCGGCUCUGGAGUUCUCCUCGCAGGUGACCAGGGGACAACAUGAGAGACCCAGCAGGUGAGCGGGGAGCACGGGGAAGCCAGGGCUGGCACCGAGAGCCGUGACUUUCCAAAGAGCUGCCCCCGAUUCACAGGGACCGGCCAAACGGGGCCGUGUGGUGCUGGGAUUCCCAUCUACCGGGGAGCAGCAGAUUUCAUGUUGCUGUUAAUCGCCACAGCAGCUCUGGAGAAGGUCCUGCAAGCAGGGCAAUGACCACAGCCGGAGAGCACAGGACCCAGCGUCCCUGCAGGCUGCCACGUAUACGUCCCACCUCGGUCCUCUACAUCUAUCCCAUGGGCAAUAGGGGGAAUAAGUUUGUUUAAGCGGAGACGAAGGAAAGAGGCAGAUCACCAGCUAUGUACACGUUUUGGCAAGAGACCUGGGUUGUGCCUUGUUUUUCCAGGACUCCAAGCUGCUCAUGGACCAAGUUGCUUUCCUGGAAAGACUCCGUUUUCCUGAAGCACAUUUAGGCCAGCGAUUGCAAGGCUGUGGCGCCUGCAUCAUCUAGCUAGCUUAUGUUUCCAGUAGCAGAGCAAGCUGGGUAAAGAGCCUCCGCCGCGAGCCCGUGCUGCGGGUCUGCCAGCCUUGGUGGCCUUGGGAGCCUGGUGCCUGGCCCAGGCCGCCCGGCUCGCGCUGCUGGUGCCUGAAAUCCUCACUUUGGUCUGGGUUUUUUUCGGGUCUCUCACAUACUGCUCGCACACAGGUCACACACCCUUUCGUUUUACCCCUCCCUCAACUUCUGUUGCUUGGCAUUACAAACCCGAUUUAUCCACGAGAGCUGUAAGCUGGUUUCUGCUGCUGCAAAUAAAGGAAAAAUCAACUGAG